UACGUAGGGUGCAAGCGUUAAUCGGAAUUACUGGGCGUAAAGCGUGCGCAGGCGGUGAUGCAAGACAGAUGUGAGAUCCCCGGGCUUAACCUGGGAACUGCAUUUGUGACCGCAUUGCUGGAGUGCGGCAGAGGGGGAUGGAAUUCCGCGUGUAGCAGUGAAAUGCGUAGAUAUGCGGAGGAACACCGAUGGCGAAGGCAAUCCCCUGGGCCUGCACUGACGCUCAUGCACGAAAGCGUGGGGAGCAAACAGG
This 253-nucleotide ribosomal RNA is filed under the name uncultured bacterium. RNAcentral's name for it is "partial 16S ribosomal RNA". It matches the Rfam family "Bacterial small subunit ribosomal RNA", at positions 524 to 776 of the family's 1533-position model. The record is from RNAcentral.